CGGAGGGUGCGAGCGUUGUCCGGAAUCAUUGGGCGUAAAGGGCGCGUAGGUGGCCCGGUCAGUCUUUGGUGAAAGCGCAGGGCUCAACCCUGCGUCGGCCAGGGAUACUGCCGCGGCUGGAGCACUGUAGAGGCAGGCGGAAUUCCGGGUGUAGCGGUGGAAUGCGUAGAGAUCCGGAAGAGCACCGGUGGCGAAGGCGGCCUGCUGGGCAGUAGCCGAAAGGCUUUCAAGCUGACACUGAGGCGCGACAGCGUGGGGAGCAAACAGGAUUAGAUACCCUGGUAGUCCACGCCGUAAACGAUGGGCACUAGGCGCUUGGGGGAGCGACCCCCGAGGGCCGGCGCUAACGCAUUAAGUGCCCCGCCUGGGGAGUACGGCCGCAAGGCUG
Molecule: ribosomal RNA, 388 nt
Filed under: uncultured organism
Description: bacterial SSU rRNA
Rfam family: Bacterial small subunit ribosomal RNA
Source: RNAcentral